Molecule: ribosomal RNA, 253 nt
Filed under: uncultured bacterium
Lineage: Bacteria
Description: partial 16S ribosomal RNA
Rfam family: Bacterial small subunit ribosomal RNA
Source: RNAcentral
UACGUAGGGUGCAAGCGUUAAUCGGAAUUACUGGGCGUAAAGCGUGCGCAGGCGGUUGUGCAAGGCAGGUGUGAAAUCCCCGGGCUCAACCUGGGAAUUGCAUUUGUGACUGCACGGCUAGAGUGUGUCAGAGGGGGGUAGAAUUCCACGUGUAGCAGUGAAAUGCGUAGAGAUGUGGAGGAAUACCGAUGGCGAAGGCAGCCCCCUGGGAUAACACUGACGCUCAUGCACGAAAGCGUGGGGAGCAAACAGG